Molecule: ribosomal RNA, 452 nt
Filed under: uncultured bacterium
Lineage: Bacteria
Description: bacterial SSU rRNA
Rfam family: Bacterial small subunit ribosomal RNA
Source: RNAcentral
GGGCCCGCACAAGCAGCGGAGCGUGUGGUUUAAUUCGAUGUUACACGAAGAACCUUACCAGGGUUUGACAUGCAGGUGGUAGGGAACCGAAAGGGGACCGACUCUUCGGAGAGCCUGCACAGGUGCUGCAUGGCUGUCGUCAGCUCGUGUCGUGAGAUGUUCGGUUAAGUCCGCUAACGAGCGCAACCCUCGCUGUGUGUUAUACGUGUCACACGGGACUGCCGGUCUUAAGCCGGAGGAAGGUGGGGAUGACGUCAAGUCAGCAUGGCCUUUAUAUCCUGGGCUACACACACGCUACAAUGGCCAACACAACAGGUCGCGAAACCGCGAGGUGGAGCCAAUCCCCAAAGUUGGUCUCAGUUCAGAUCGCAGGCUGCAACCCGCCUGCGUGAAGACGGAGUUGCUAGUAACCGCAGGUCAGCUAUACUGCGGUGAAUACGUUCCCGGGCCUU